GUGUGCCCGGGGUUUAAAGUGCUCAGCACAGCUUGGCUUUGAUCGUAUGUAAAUAGUAUGGUGAAUAAGUGGUGGGUAAGACUGGUGCCAGCCGCCGCGGUAACACCAGCGCCACGAGUGGCAAUCGCGUUUAUUGGGCCUAAAGCGUCCGUAGCAGGUUUGUAAAUUUCUUGUGAAACUGCCAGGCCUAACUUGGCAAUGUGCAGGAAACACUGCAAAACUAGAGACCGGGAAGGGUCGGAAGUAUUCCUGAGGGAGCGGUAAAAUGCUAUAAUCUCAGGAGGACUACCGGUGGCGAAGGUGUCCGACUAGAACGGAUCUGACUGUGAGGGACGAAAGCUAGGGGAGCAAACCGGAUUAGAUACCCGAGUAGUCCUAGCUGUAAACGCUGUGAGCUAGGUGUCGCGUAUUCUACGGGAAUGCGCGGUGUCGUAAGGAAGCUACUAAGCUCACCGCCUGGGAAGUACGGUCGCAAGACUGAAACUUUAAGGAAUUGGCGGGGGCGCACCACAAGGGGUGCGGCGUGCGGUUUAAUCUAACUCAACACAGAGAACCUUACUAGGGGCGACGGCAAGAUGAAGGUCAUGCUGAAGACAUUACUCGAUGAGCCGAGAGGUGGUGCAUGGCCGUCGCCAGCUCGUGCUAUGAAGUGUCCAGUUAAGUCUGGCAACGAGCGAGACCUGUAUCUGCAAUUGCUAACAGCAUUACGGUGGACUGAGCACAUUGCAGGGACUGCCUUGGAAACAAGGAGGAAGGUGCAGGCUACGGUAGGUCUGUAUGCCCCGAAUCCCCUAGGCUACACGCGCGCAACAAUGGUAGACGACAUGGGAUGCAACUCUGAAAAGAGAAGCUAAACCUCUAAACCCUAUCCGAGUUCAGAUUGAGGUUGCAACUCACGCUCAUGACGUCGAUCCCUUAAACCAGGGG
This 927-nucleotide ribosomal RNA is filed under the name uncultured euryarchaeote. Its description in RNAcentral is "bacterial SSU rRNA". It matches the Rfam family "Archaeal small subunit ribosomal RNA", at positions 367 to 1303 of the family's 1478-position model. Lineage: Archaea; Methanobacteriati; Methanobacteriota. The record is from RNAcentral.